This is a long non-coding RNA of Bos taurus (domestic cattle), 1961 nucleotides long. The record is from Ensembl. NCBI's taxonomy places the organism in Eukaryota, Metazoa, Chordata, Mammalia, Artiodactyla, Bovidae.
AAGCCUUUGGGCAGCUGUGAUGACAGGAGUGAGAAAGUGGCUGGGCAACACCCACUGUCGAGGCCUCCAGUGACUAAGCUCAUCAGACCCUGGGUCUAAAGACGUCUAAUGAACAGGCUGGCCACUGGGCCACCCGUGGUGGGGCCCUGCAGGCUGCCCCUCAGAAGGACACAGGAGGCUCCCUGCAAGCAGGAGGAGUUACUCGAGGCUUGCUCUGGACCUCAGCCUUGCCCCUUUCUCCUGCACCCCAAGUGGGGCUUCCCUGAACUUGGGCACAGCAGCCCCUUGAGGGAGGCGCUUGGGAGGGCAGUGCUCAGAGGGAAACAAGGAUGCUCUCUCACCUGCUGCUCCAGCUUGGUCCUCCUGACACUCAUAGGCAGCCAAAGACAUUCUCUCCCCUGCCCAGGAAUGUGGCACCCACUCCCUCCUUCAGGAACCCCACGAAGCCACGCGGCCUAUGCCAGCAGCAUCUUGGCCCGUGGGGCUGUGGCCCACGCCGUGUCUCAUUCCAAACUCCUCAAUCUCUCCCAUUAGCUGAGAUUGCAGGUUCAGAGCACAAACAUCGCCACCUGUCACUGCAGCCGCAACUCCUCCGCCAGCCGGGAAUGGUCUCGUCUCCUUCAAUCCAUCACGGAGGGUUUCUAUCGCUCUCCCUCUGUGAGCCCUUCCCCCAGCGCCUGGCCCAGGGGAGUUGCUUCGCUGCCAGGUGGGAGGAGAGAGGCGGCAGGAAGCCCAGGGCAGGGACCUCUCAGGCCUUGAGCCUGGUAGUACCUGGAGAACCCAGCCCCGACCAGAGAGCACACCUGCUUCAGACCCAGAGGAAGCAAAUGAGGUGGUGGGAACAGAGGGGUUAGUUGCUCAGUUGUGUCCGACUCUGCAACCCCAUGGACUGUAGCCAGCCAGGCUCCUCUGUCCAUGGGGAUUCUCCAGGCCAGAAUACUGGAGUGGGUUGCUAUGCCUUCCUUCCGGGGAUCUUCCUGAUCCAGGGAUUGAACCUGAGUCUCCUGCAUUGCGGGCAGACUCUUUACCAUCUGAGCCAGCGAAGCCCCCAGCAGGAGCAGAGGGCUUCCCUAACACUCCCCAGGCGUGGGAUGUACACUUGCUGCCCUUGGAGAUGAAGUCACUGUAAUCUGGGGGCCUCAUCCCUGGGCUUUCUGACUCCGGGUAUCUGGGGCAGAGCCUGAGAACCUGCAUUUUUUAACAGAGCUGCUCCAUGUGAUUCUGAGGCCAUAGGUCCCUGGAUCCCAACGUUGAGCAACUUGGUUGAUGGAGCCUCUUAUCAGUAGGUUAGGCCGGAUGGUGCUGUUGUAACAAACAACCCCCACACCCUCAGGGGCUUAAUACUAUAACGAUUCAUUUCUUGCAUCUCCAUGCCCAAAGCUAGCUGGCUGGAGGUUUCUUUCACUGAGGUUAUUCAGAAACCCAUCUGAGGAAACUCGUCUAGACCAGAUUUCUGUGAUUGCGGUGAGGAGCACAGCUGGGGGGUCCAGCGGACAAGUGCUCAAGCCUGAAAGUGACACAGAGCACUCCUGCCCACAACCCACUGGCCAGAACUAAUGCUAGCUAGCACCCUGCCCAGCUUUGAGAGGAUGGGGAGAAGUAACCACCCCCCGCCACGUGUGCCAGGGGAGAGAGAGAGGAGUGGGAUACGGGGGAACCAUCUGGGCAUUCCCCCUGGACGGCACUGAGGCUGAAAGCCCAGCCCCCGCCUCUGACGCCUGACCCACUGGCUGCAGCCCAGAAGACACGAAGGAAAGCACGAGGGACUAAUGGGUUGGCGGGCUCCCAAAGGAAAGACACUCUUGACGCAUGCAGACCCACAGCCUGGAGGCAGCAUCGGCCCCUUGAAGGGCAGCACCGGCCCCAGCUCCACGUAUGGCUGGCAAAACCGAGUAGCAAACCGAGGAGCAGCCCAGAUCAAAGCGAGCCCCACUGCUGCCGGUUCAAAAUCACUCCAUGGC